This 857-nucleotide ribosomal RNA is filed under the name uncultured bacterium. RNAcentral's name for it is "bacterial SSU rRNA". It matches the Rfam family "Bacterial small subunit ribosomal RNA", at positions 574 to 1432 of the family's 1533-position model. The record is from RNAcentral.
GGCGGUUAGAUAAGUNUGAAGUUAAAGGCUGUGGCUUAACCNUAGUACGCUUUGGAAACUGUUUAACUUGAGUGCAAGAGGGGAGAGUGGAAUUCCAUGUGUAGCGGUGAAAUGCGUAGAUAUAUGGAGGAACACCGGUGGCGAAAGCGGCUNUCUGGCUUGUAACUGACGCUGAGGCUCGAAAGCGUGGGGAGCAAACAGGAUUAGAUGCCNUGGUAGUCCACGCCGUAAACGAUGAGUGCUAGGUGUUAGACCCUUUCCGGGGUUUAGUGCCGCAGCUAACGCAUUAAGCACUCCGCCUGGGGAGUACGACCGCAAGGUUGAAACUCAAAGGAAUUGACGGGGGCCCGCACAAGCGGUGGAGCAUGUGGUUUAAUUCGAAGCAACGCGAAGAACCUUACCAGGUCUUGACGUCCCUCUGACCGCUCUAGAGAUAGAGUUUUCCUUCGGGACAGAGGUGACAGGUGGUGCAUGGUUGUCGUCAGCUCGUGUCGUGAGAUGUUGGGUUAGGUCCCGCAACGAGCGCAACCCCUAUUGUUAGUUGCCAUCAUUUAGUUGGGCACUCUAGCGAGACUGCCGGUAAUAAACCGGAGGAAGGUGGGGAUGACGUCAAAUCAUCAUGCCCCUUAUGACCUGGGCUACACACGUGCUACAAUGGCUGGUACAACGAGUCGCAAGUCGGUGACGGCAAGCUAAUCUCUUAAAGCCAGUCUCAGUUCGGAUUGUAGGCUGCAACUCGCCUACAUGAAGUCGGAAUCGCUAGUAAUCGCGGAUCAGCACGCCGCGGUGAAUACGUUCCCGGGCCUUGUACACACCGCCCGUCACACCACGAGAGUUUGUAACACCCGAGGUCGGUG